GGCGGGCGUGGCCAAGUGGUAAGGCAAUGGAUUGUGGCUUCAUUAUUCGCGGGUUCGAAUCCCGUCGUUCGCCG
This 74-nucleotide transfer RNA is filed under the name Pedinophyceae sp. YPF-701. RNAcentral's name for it is "tRNA-His". It matches the Rfam family "tRNA". Rfam says of the family: Transfer RNA (tRNA) molecules are approximately 80 nucleotides in length. Their secondary structure includes four short double-helical elements and three loops (D, anti-codon, and T loops). Further hydrogen bonds mediate the characteristic L-shaped molecular structure. tRNAs have two regions of fundamental functional importance: the anti-codon, which is responsible for specific mRNA codon recognition, and the 3' end, to which the tRNAs corresponding amino acid is attached (by aminoacyl-tRNA synthetases). tRNAs cope with the degeneracy of the genetic code in two manners: having more than one tRNA (with a specific anti-codon) for a particular amino acid; and 'wobble' base-pairing, i.e. permitting non-standard base-pairing at the 3rd anti-codon position. Lineage: Eukaryota; Viridiplantae; Chlorophyta; Pedinophyceae. The record is from RNAcentral.